UAGUCGAGCGAAUGGAUUAAGAGCUUGCUCUUAUGAAGUUAGCGGCGGACGGGUGAGUAACACGUGGGUAACCUGCCCAUAAGACUGGGAUAACUCCGGGAAACCGGGGCUAAUACCGGAUAACAUUUUGAACCGCAUGGUUCGAAAUUGAAAGGCGGCUUCGGCUGUCACUUAUGGAUGGACCCGCGUCGCAUUAGCUAGUUGGUGAGGUAACGGCUCACCAAGGCAACGAUGCGUAGCCGACCUGAGAGGGUGAUCGGCCACACUGGGACUGAGACACGGCCCAGACUCCUACGGGAGGCAGCAGUAGGGAAUCUUCCGCAAUGGACGAAAGUCUGACGGAGCAACGCCGCGUGAGUGAUGAAGGCUUUCGGGUCGUAAAACUCUGUUGUUAGGGAAGAACAAGUGCUAGUUUUAUAAGCUGGCACCUUGACGGUACCUAACCAGAAAGCCACGGCUAACUACGUGCCACCAGCCGCGGUAAUACGUAGGUGGCAAGC
This 500-nucleotide ribosomal RNA is filed under the name Bacillus sp. EGU237. RNAcentral's name for it is "bacterial SSU rRNA". It matches the Rfam family "Bacterial small subunit ribosomal RNA", at positions 59 to 539 of the family's 1533-position model. The record is from RNAcentral. Lineage: Bacteria; Bacillati; Bacillota; Bacilli; Caryophanales; Bacillaceae.